AUCUACAGCCAUACCACCCUGAACGUGCCUGAUCUCGUCCGAUCUUGGAAGCUAAGCAAGGUCGGACCUGGUUAGUACUUGGAUGGGAACAGUUUCUCUCUUUU
Molecule: ribosomal RNA, 104 nt
Filed under: Chlorocebus sabaeus (green monkey)
Lineage: Eukaryota; Metazoa; Chordata; Mammalia; Primates; Cercopithecidae
Source: RNAcentral